AUACGUAGGUGACAAGCGUUAUCCGGAUUUACUGGGCGUAAAGGGCGUGUAGGCGGUCUUGCAAGUCAGAAGUGAAAUUCCUGAGCUCAACUCGGGCGCUGCUUCUGAAACUGCAGGACUUGAGUGCUGGAGGGGAUAGCGGAAUUCCUAGUGGAGCGGUAAAAUGCGCAGAUAUUAGGAGGAACACCGGUGGCGAAGGCGGCUUACUGGACUGUAACUGACGUUGAGGCUCGAAAGCGUGGGGAGCAAACAGGAUUAGAUACCCCGGUAGUCCUGGCAGUAAACGAUGUAUGCUGGGUGUGAGACUAGCGAUAGUUUCGUGCCGAAGUUAACGCGAUAAGCAUACCGCCUGGGGAGUACGGUCGCAAGAUUGAAACUCAAAUGAAUUGGCGGGG
This 395-nucleotide ribosomal RNA is filed under the name uncultured bacterium. RNAcentral's name for it is "partial 16S ribosomal RNA". It matches the Rfam family "Bacterial small subunit ribosomal RNA", at positions 523 to 918 of the family's 1533-position model. The record is from RNAcentral.